GAUGAACGCUGGCGGCGUGCCUAAUACAUGCAAGUCGAGCGAACGGACGAGAAGCUUGCUUCUCUGAUGUUAGCGGCGGACGGGUGAGUAACACGUGGAUAACCUACCUAUAAGACUGGGAUAACUUCGGGAAACCGGAGCUAAUACCGGAUAAUCUUUUGCACCGCAUGGUUCAAAAGUGAAAUACGGUCUUGCUGUCACUUAUAGAUGGAUCCGCGCUGCAUUAGCUAGUUGGUAAGGUAACGGCUUACCAAGGCAACGAUGCAUAGCCGACCUGAGAGGGGGAUCGGCCAGACUGGGAGUGAGACACGGUCCAGACUCCGACGGGAGGCAGCAGUAGGGAAUCUUCCGCAAUGGGCGAAAGCCUGACGGAGCAACGCCGCGUGAGUGAUGAAGGUCUUCGGAUCGUAAAACUCUGUUAUUAGGGAAGAACAUAUGUGUAAGUAACUGUGCACAUCUUGACGGUACCUAAUCAGAAAGCCACGGCUAACUACGUG
Molecule: ribosomal RNA, 497 nt
Filed under: uncultured bacterium
Lineage: Bacteria
Description: partial 16S ribosomal RNA
Rfam family: Bacterial small subunit ribosomal RNA
Source: RNAcentral